GGAAAUAUGUUCAACAAAAGAAUUACUUUGAUAGACUAAACAAUGGAGGUUAAAAUCCUCUUAUUUCUA
Transfer RNA from Homo sapiens (human), 69 nucleotides. It matches the Rfam family "tRNA". Rfam says of the family: Transfer RNA (tRNA) molecules are approximately 80 nucleotides in length. Their secondary structure includes four short double-helical elements and three loops (D, anti-codon, and T loops). Lineage: Eukaryota; Metazoa; Chordata; Mammalia; Primates; Hominidae. The record is from Rfam.